RNAcentral lists this transfer RNA (103 nucleotides) under Plantactinospora mayteni. Its description in RNAcentral is "tRNA-Ala". The record is from RNAcentral. Lineage: Bacteria; Bacillati; Actinomycetota; Actinomycetes; Micromonosporales; Micromonosporaceae.
GCGGCCCGGUGGAGCGCUCGGCAGGAUCCCGGCCCGCUGGCGCCGAGCCCUCUUCGCGAGGAGGAACGCUUCCGGAGCGUACCGUGGCGCUCCGGCCCUCGCC